This 1395-nucleotide ribosomal RNA is filed under the name uncultured bacterium. RNAcentral's name for it is "bacterial SSU rRNA". It matches the Rfam family "Bacterial small subunit ribosomal RNA". The record is from RNAcentral.
GAAUUCGAUUAGAGUUUGAUCAUGGCUCAGAUUGAACGCUGGCGGCAGGCCUAACACAUGCAAGUCGAGCGGUAGCACAGAGAGCUUGCUCUCGGGUGACGAGCGGCGGACGGGUGAGUAAUGUCUGGGAAACUGCCUGAUGGAGGGGGAUAACUACUGGAAACGGUAGCUAAUACCGCAUAAUGUCGCAAGACCAAAGAGGGGGACCUUCGGGCCUCUUGCCAUCAGAUGUGCCCAGAUGGGAUUAGCUAGUAGGUGGGGUAACGGCUCACCUAGGCGACGAUCCCUAGCUGGUCUGAGAGGAUGACCAGCCACACUGGAACUGAGACACGGUCCAGACUCCUACGGGAGGCAGCAGUGGGGAUAUUGCACAAUGGGCGCAAGCCUGAUGCAGCCAUGCCGCGUGUAUGAAGAAGGCCUUCGGGUUGUAAAGUACUUUCAGCGGGGAGGAAGGCGAUAAGGUUAAUAACCUUGUCGAUUGACGUUACCCGCAGAAGAAGCACCGGCUAACUCCGUGCCAGCAGCCGCGGUAAUACGGAGGGUGCAAGCGUUAAUCGGAAUUACUGGGCGUAAAGCGCACGCAGGCGGUCUGUCAAGUCGGAUGUGAAAUCCCCGGGCUCAACCUGGGAACUGCAUUCGAAACUGGCAGGCUAGAGUCUUGUAGAGGGGGGUAGAAUUCCAGGUGUAGCGGUGAAAUGCGUAGAGAUCUGGAGGAAUACCGGUGGCGAAGGCGGCCCCCUGGACAAAGACUGACGCUCAGGUGCGAAGGCGUGGGGAGCAAACAGGAUUAGAUACCCUGGUAGUCCACGCCGUAAACGAUGUCGACUUGGAGGUUGUGCCCUUGAGGCGUGGCUUCCGGAGCUAACGCGUUAAGUCGACCGCCUGGGGAGUACGGCCGCAAGGUUAAAACUCAAAUGAAUUGACGGGGGCCCGCACAAGCGGUGGAGCAUGUGGUUUAAUUCGAUGCAACGCGAAGAACCUUACCUACUCUUGACAUCCAGAGAACUUUCCAGAGAUGGAUUGGUGCCUUCGGGAACUCUGAGACAGGUGCUGCAUGGCUGUCGUCAGCUCGUGUUGUGAAAUGUUGGGUUAAGUCCCGCAACGAGCGCAACCCUUAUCCUUUGUUGCCAGCGGUUAGGCCGGGAACUCAAAGGAGACUGCCAGUGAUAAACUGGAGGAAGGUGGGGAUGACGUCAAGUCAUCAUGGCCCUUACGAGUAGGGCUACACACGUGCUACAAUGGCGCAUACAAAGAGAAGCGACCUCGCGAGAGCAAGCGGACCUCAUAAAGUGCGUCGUAGUCCGGAUUGGAGUCUGCAACUCGACUCCAUGAAGUCGGAAUCGCUAGUAAUCGUAGAUCAGAAUGCUACGGUGAAUACGGUCCCGGGCCUUGUAG